This 569-nucleotide long non-coding RNA is filed under the name Helicoverpa zea (corn earworm). RNAcentral's name for it is "uncharacterized LOC124644215". Lineage: Eukaryota; Metazoa; Arthropoda; Insecta; Lepidoptera; Noctuidae. The record is from RNAcentral.
UUGAUACAGCCUUGCAGUUUCUACCCAGUUAUGCUCGUAUUCUCUCCACACGUGGCGUUGCUCCGGCACGUGGCACGUGGCCCCACUUGAGCGCGCUGCGACGGGGUGCAAGUGGCGCCACCAACAUCUGAAGCGCCAAAGUCAACCUCACCUGCACGCGGCGCGCCCUGCUCACACCGACGAGGCUCUGACGACUGUCUGACCUCUCAUUAUGAAAUUGAGAUGAUCUUUUAUAAGCCUUUUCAACUUCAUAGUUGGAGAUCAGGAUUUUCUUUUUGAUAUGUUUGAUUUUGUUUGCACAAACUCAUCAUUAUUUUAUUGUAACAAUACAAAGAAUACAAUCUUUGUAUUCGCGUCAACAAAUAAUGAUGAAUUUGGGAAUCGGUUUGCAAGAAAAGUUAAUGACAGAUCUACGGAUAUUUAGAGGAAAGAUGCCAUGGUAUAUUCUAUAGUAAUUAAGUAGGUUAAGCUUUUUACUCUUAUAGAAAAUGUAAGAGGGUUUUUAUUGUCACGAUAUUACAGUUUGCUAAGAUAUACGGGUAGAUAAUUAUAAUCUUUAGGUUAAGGAA